This 270-nucleotide ribosomal RNA is filed under the name uncultured archaeon. RNAcentral's name for it is "partial 16S ribosomal RNA". It matches the Rfam family "Archaeal small subunit ribosomal RNA", at positions 477 to 747 of the family's 1478-position model. The record is from RNAcentral.
CCGCAGCUCAAGUGGUGACCACUAUUAUUGGGCCUAAAACGUUCGUAGCCGGUUUGGUAAAUGCCUGGGUAAAUCGUGUAGCUUAACUAUACGAAUUCCGGGUAGACUGCCAAACUUGAGACCGGGAGAAGCUAGAGGUACUCCUAGGGUAGAGGUGAAAUUCUGUAAUCCUGGGGGGACCACCAGUGGCGAAGGCGUCUAGCUAGAACGGGUCUGACGGUGAGGAACGAAGCCCUGGGGCGCAAACCGGAUUAGAUACCCGAGUAGUCC